RNAcentral lists this non-coding RNA (29 nucleotides) under Homo sapiens (human). Lineage: Eukaryota; Metazoa; Chordata; Mammalia; Primates; Hominidae. The record is from RNAcentral.
UCCCUCUGCCUCAAAGCCUUUCCAUGCAU